This 489-nucleotide ribosomal RNA is filed under the name uncultured bacterium. Its description in RNAcentral is "partial 16S ribosomal RNA". It matches the Rfam family "Bacterial small subunit ribosomal RNA", at positions 28 to 505 of the family's 1533-position model. The record is from RNAcentral.
GAUGAACGCUGGCUACAGGCUUAACACAUGCAAGUCGAGGGGAAACGACGGGGAAGCUUGCUUCCCCGGGCGUCGACCGGCGCACGGGUGAGUAACGCGUAUCCAACCUGCCUCUGACUGAGGGAUAACCCGUCGAAAGUCGGCCUAAUACCUCAUGGCAUCGUCUGCGGGCAUCCAACGACGAUUAAAGAUUUCAUCGGUCAGGGAUGGGGAUGCGUCUGAUUAGCUUGUUGGCGGGGUAACGGCCCACCAAGGCUACGAUCAGUAGGGGUUCUGAGAGGAAGGUCCCCCACAUUGGAACUGAGACACGGUCCAAACUCCUACGGGAGGCAGCAGUGAGGAAUAUUGGUCAAUGGGCGGGAGCCUGAACCAGCCAAGUAGCGUGCAGGAUGACGGCCCUAUGGGUUGUAAACUGCUUUUAUGCGGGGAUAAAGUGAGGGACGUGUCCUUCAUUGCAGGUACCGCAUGAAUAAGGACCGGCUAAUUCCG